AGUGAACGCUGGCGGUAGGCCUAACACAUGCAAGUCGAACGGCAGCACAGUAAGAGCUUGCUCUUACGGGUGGCGAGUGGCGGACGGGUGAGGAAUACAUCGGAAUCUACUUUUUCGUGGGGGAUAACGGAGGGAAACUUACGCUAAUACCGCAUACGACCUACGGGUGAAAGCAGGGGAUCUUCGGACCUUGCGCGAUUGAAUGAGCCGAUGUCGGAUUAGCUAGUUGGCGGGGUAAAGGCCCACCAAGGCGACGAUCCGUAGCUGGUCUGAGAGGAUGAUCAGCCACACUGGAACUGAGACACGGUCCAGACUCCUACGGGAGGCAGCAGUGGGGAAUAUUGGACAAUGGGCUCAAUCCUGAUCCAGCCAUACCGCGUGGGUGAAGAAGGCCUUCGGGUUGUAAAGCCCUUUUGUUGGGAAAGAAAAGCAGCAGGUUAAUACCCCGCUGUUCUGACGGUACCCAAAGAAUAAGCACCGGCUAACUUCGUG
Molecule: ribosomal RNA, 492 nt
Filed under: uncultured bacterium
Lineage: Bacteria
Description: partial 16S ribosomal RNA
Rfam family: Bacterial small subunit ribosomal RNA
Source: RNAcentral